GAAGAAGAGAACGUAAUCUUGGACUGCCAAGGUGCGGCAGCUCUGGUUCAACUAAAGCUCGCUCUCGGAUCAACACGAAGACACUUUCCAAUUCUUCUCUACUGCUCCAGUUAUCGUACACCCCCCCCUAGACGCUCCAUAUGACGGCUGACAUUGAAACAGACCCUCUUCCGUCGAAUAGAACUGUGUCCAAGAAAAGCGACAUAUUGGAUGUUGUAGGUGGAAAUGGACCGUGGCAGAGGAGGAUAUUUUUGAUCAUCCUUCUUUUCGUUAUACCAGAUGCUACGCACAACUUUUCGAUCUCAUUUUUGGCACCUAACCUGGAUCAUUGGUGCGCAAGACCAAGUGGAGUCAAUAUCAGUGUCGAGGAAUGGAAAAGGAUAGCUCUCCCACCCAACGACUAUCAUUGCUCCAAGUACAAAGAUAUCAAUUUAACACUUCUUGAGGAAGACCUCAAUGUCACCAGAAGUAAUGAACUUGUCAAGUGUGAUGCUUGGGAAUAUGACGAAACAUUUUACACUUCCACUCUUCUCAGCCAGUGGAAUUUGGUAUGUGAUAAAGAAUGGCUAGUCUCAAUGUUAAAAUCUGUCUUCAUGGGAGGCGUUAUGGUAUCUGUUGUUUUGUUUGGGUAUAUAGCUGAUAAAUUAGGAAGAAGACCAGCCAUUGCCGCUUGUGCCUUUAUUGGUGUAUCAUCAGCUAUUAUUUGCACUUUUUCAAUUUCGUUCAUCAUGUUUGCCGUUUCCAGAUUCUUUGUUGCCCUUGGAAUUGAUGGAGUUUUCAACACCUCGUUUGUCUUACUUAUGGAAGUCGUUGGUCCAGACUGCAGAUCAUUUUAUGGUCUUGCUAUAGAAUUUGGCUGGUGCAUCGGAAUUGUCAGCCUUCCGGUUUUCGCUUAUUUGCUAAGAGAUUGGUUUUGGAUACAAACAGCACUCACGGCACCAUGCUUGCUACUCCUUAGUAGUUGGUGGUUGUUACCAGAGUCACCACGCUGGUUAUUGUCUCAAGGACGUGUCGAAGAAGCCCAGGAAACGCUCAGUAAGGCAGCCAAGGCAAAUGGCAUAGAGCCAUCCGACAUAGAUACGACUCUCCGAAAAAUAAUGUCAAAAGCCAGUGAGGCUCAUGAGUCUGGAGAAGCGUCCGGAAAUUUCCUAGAUUUGUUGCGUACUCCUGGACUCUGGCAAAUGACGCUAAAUGUGUACUUUCUUUGGUUCGUAAAUGUUUUCGUGUACUAUGGACUUUCGUACAACACCAACGAACUAGCCGGUGAUCCCUUCGUUAACUUUGCACUUUCCGGAGCAGUGGAGUUCCCGGCAUAUGUUCUCAGCAUUAUAGCUAUACGAUCCUUGGGCAGAAGAAAUCCUCUAGCUGUUGCUCUGAUAAUAGGAGGUGUUGCUUGUCUUCUCUGCUACCUCAUGCCCGAAAACCCGUGGUGGUUCGGUGUGACUGUUUCAAUGAUUGGCAAGUUCUGUAUAAGUUGCGCUUUCGGUAUAAUCUUGGUUUUCACGGCCGAGAUCUUCCCAACUGUGGUCAGAAACAUUGGCCUCGGAUCGGCUUCAAUGGUUGGUCGUGUCGGAUCCAUACUUGCGCCCUUCAUACGAGAACUUGGCCAUGCUACACAUCCAGUGGUGCCUCAAAUUGUGUAUGGUGUGCUUGCUGUUACGAGUGGAAUGCUGGUAUUGCUUUUGCCUGAAACAAAUAACUGCGUUAUUCCGGAUACUAUCAAAGAAGCUGCUAAUGCCUCCAGGUACAGUAAAUAAGUAGAGGAGCUCACGCCAUUCAGUGCUACAAUGCAAACAAAUUAUAUAGCAUUAGAAAAAAGUUGAGACCAACGAAACAUCAGAACGAUCACUCAGUAACAAUAAAAGUACCCAAUGGAGACGCGGAUAAAAGCUAUGAAGAAGAAAAGAUGACAGCAGUUACUUCUUUACCAAAUCCAGCUGCUAAA
Molecule: unclassified non-coding RNA, 1945 nt
Filed under: Stegodyphus dumicola
Lineage: Eukaryota; Metazoa; Arthropoda; Arachnida; Araneae; Eresidae
Description: organic cation transporter protein-like, transcript variant X2
Source: RNAcentral